UCGUUGGUGGUUCGUAACCAUCCCACCAGAUAAAAAAACUAGGGAGAA
RNAcentral lists this non-coding RNA (48 nucleotides) under Paucilactobacillus oligofermentans DSM 15707 = LMG 22743. RNAcentral describes it as "Lactobacillus oligofermentans DSM 15707 = LMG 22743 PreQ1 (pre queuosine) riboswitch aptamer". It matches the Rfam family "PreQ1 (pre queuosine) riboswitch aptamer". From Rfam's summary of the family: This family is a bacterial riboswitch that binds to the metabolite preQ1, an intermediate in the biosynthesis of the modified nucleoside queuosine from GTP. One example of this riboswitch is located in the leader of the Bacillus subtilis ykvJKLM (queCDEF) operon which encodes four genes necessary for queuosine production. The record is from Rfam by way of RNAcentral. Lineage: Bacteria; Bacillati; Bacillota; Bacilli; Lactobacillales; Lactobacillaceae.